CAGCCGCCGCGGUAAUACGGAGGGUGCAAGCGUUAAUCGGAAUUUCUGGGCGUAAAGCGUGCGUAGGCGGUUUGUUAAGUCUGUUGUGAAAUCCCCGGGCUCAACCUGGGAAUGGCAAUGGAUACUGGCAAGCUAGAGUGUGUCAGAGGAUGGUGGAAUUCCCGGUGUAGCGGUGAAAUGCGUAGAGAUCGGGAGGAACAUCAGUGGCGAAGGCGGCCAUCUGGGACAACACUGACGCUGAGGCACGAAAGCGUGGGGAGCAAACAGGAUUAGAUACCCCCGUAGUCCCUGUCUCUUAUAC
Molecule: ribosomal RNA, 301 nt
Filed under: uncultured bacterium
Lineage: Bacteria
Description: partial 16S ribosomal RNA
Rfam family: Bacterial small subunit ribosomal RNA
Source: RNAcentral